Molecule: non-coding RNA, 160 nt
Filed under: Acidovorax sp. JS42
Lineage: Bacteria; Pseudomonadati; Pseudomonadota; Betaproteobacteria; Burkholderiales; Comamonadaceae
Also listed under: 1 other name
Description: ZMP/ZTP riboswitch aptamer (pfl RNA motif)
Rfam family: ZMP/ZTP riboswitch aptamer (pfl RNA motif)
About the family: Previously known as pfl RNA. ZMP is also known as AICAR.
Source: Rfam by way of RNAcentral
AGCAGGGCACGCAACUGGCGAUAGGCGCGGAGGUCUUCCGGGACACCGCCGCUGACGUGGACACCGGCAGGAAACAGCGUUUUUCUGCAAACCACUGGGGAGCGUGCCGCGCGGCAGGCACCAGCCCCGCAGCGAUCCGUCGUUCGCCUGGGCAGCCCUU